This 492-nucleotide ribosomal RNA is filed under the name uncultured bacterium. RNAcentral's name for it is "partial 16S ribosomal RNA". It matches the Rfam family "Bacterial small subunit ribosomal RNA", at positions 29 to 507 of the family's 1533-position model. The record is from RNAcentral.
AGUGAACGCUGGCGGUAGGCCUAACACAUGCAAGUCGAACGGCAGCACAGUAAGAGCUUGCUCUUACGGGUGACGAGUGGCGGACGGGUGAGGAAUACAUCGGAAUCUACUUUUUCGUGGGGGAUAACGUAGGGAAACUUACGCUAAUACCGCAUACGACCUACGGGUGAAAGCAGGGGAUCUUCGGACCUUGCGCGAUUGAAUGAGCCGAUGUCGGAUUAGCUAGUUGGCGGGGUAAAGGCCCACCAAGGCGACGAUCCGUAGCUGGUCUGAGAGGAUGAUCAGUCACACUGGAACUGAGACACGGUCCAGACUCCUACGGGAGGCAGCAGUGGGGAAUAUUGGACAAUGGGCGCAAGCCUGAUCCAGCCAUACCGCGUGGGUGAAGAAGGCCUUCGGGUUGUAAAGCCCUUUUGUUGGGAAAGAAAAGCAGCGGGUUAAUACCCCGCUGUUCUGACGGUACCCAAAGAAUAAGCACCGGCUAACUUCGUG